UCCCUCCCUUUUUUUUUUUUCUUUUUACUAAUGACUGUAUAAUCCCUUGUACUAUAGGAUAUAUCCUGCUUAUCUUUAAGAUUUGAUGGACGUACCAAUGGAUGAGGAGCUACAGAAAUAUCUUCAGGAAAGUGCUCCCUAAUGGAUUCUAUAUGUUGAGGAAGAAUUAUUUGUAGAGGAUUUUGAACAUGCAACUUUUUCCCAUAAGUGAUAAUCUGUUCAGCUUAAAUAGAUUGGUUUGUCAACUCCAAAAGAUUACAAAUAGAUGUCGGUCUUGAGAAUUAGCUAAGAUAGAACAGAAAUUCCACUAUGAUUUUGGCAUAACAAAUUGGAUAAACUCCCACUAAAAAUAAGUUUAGUUGAAUGGGUUAUAAUUUUAUGAAUGUGUUCUUGUUGAAUUUGAUUUGGUACUCACAG
Molecule: long non-coding RNA, 417 nt
Filed under: Elaeis guineensis (African oil palm)
Lineage: Eukaryota; Viridiplantae; Streptophyta; Magnoliopsida; Arecales; Arecaceae
Description: long non-coding RNA (EGUI_LNC065959)
Source: RNAcentral